This 441-nucleotide ribosomal RNA is filed under the name uncultured bacterium. RNAcentral describes it as "partial 16S ribosomal RNA". It matches the Rfam family "Bacterial small subunit ribosomal RNA", at positions 338 to 795 of the family's 1533-position model. The record is from RNAcentral.
CCUACGGGUGGCAGCCGUGGGGAAUUUUGCACAAUGGGGGAAACCCUGAUGCAGCAACGCCGCGUGAAGGAGGACGGUUUUCGGAUUGUACACUUCUGUUCUUAGUGAAGAAUGAUGCCUGUAGCUAAGGAGCAAUCCCCGGCUAACUACGUGCCAGAAGCCGCGGUAAUACGUAGGUGGAAAGCGUUGUCCGGAAUUACUGGGUGUAAAGGAUGCGCAGGCCGGAAGCCAAGUCAGCUGGUAAAACUACGGGCUUAACUUGUAGACUGCAGUUGAAACUGGUUUUCUUGAGUGAAGUAGAGGUUGGCGGAAUUCCGAGUGUAGCGGUGAAAUGCGGAGAUAUUCGGAGGAACACCGGUGGCGAAGGCGGCCAACUGGGCUUUAACUGACGCUGAGGCUCGAAAGUGUGGGGAGCAAACAGGAUUAGAUACCCGGGUAGUC